UGGGGGAUAUUGCACAAUGGGCGAAAGCCUGAUGCAGCGACGCCGCGUGGGGGAGGAAGGCUUUCGGGUUUUAAACCCCUUUCGCUUCCGAACAAGGCCGGCUAAGGGUGGGUGGAGGGUAGUGGGAGAAGAAGCGCCGGCUAACUCCGUUCCACCGGCCGCGGUAUUACGUAGGGCGCGAGCGUUGUCCGGAAUUAUUGGGCGUAAGGGGCUUGUAGGCGGCUUGUUGCGCCUGCUGUGAAAACGCGGGGCUGAACUUCGGGCGUGCAGUGGGUACGGGCAGGCUUGAGUGUGGUAGGGGUGACUGGAAUUCCAGGUGUAGCGGUGGAAUGCGCAGAUAUCUGGAGGAACACCGAUGGCGAAGGCAGGUCACUGGGCCAUUACUGACGCUGAGGAGCGAAAGCAUGGGUAGCGAACAGG
RNAcentral lists this ribosomal RNA (420 nucleotides) under bacterium. RNAcentral describes it as "partial 16S ribosomal RNA". It matches the Rfam family "Bacterial small subunit ribosomal RNA", at positions 355 to 776 of the family's 1533-position model. The record is from RNAcentral.